ACAUUUAACUUAACAGUAACAAUUUUAGAUUUUUUUGCCAGUUUCAAUGUAACAGCAUGGUGUUGUGUUUGAUUUCAGUUGAAAAUGUUUUCUGCUAAUUUUUUUAUUAACUUAUGUUUAAGGGCCAACUUUAGUUUUACUUUGUGUGUUACAGUUGCCUGAUCUGAAAGAUGCUGAAGCAGUUCAGAAGUUUUUCCUCGAGGAGAUUCAGCUUGGCGAGGAACUACUAGCUCAAGGUGAAUAUGAGAAAGGUGUUGAUCACUUGACCAAUGCCAUUGCUGUGUGUGGACAGCCGCAGCAGCUACUACAAGUUCUACAGCAGACUCUUCCACCACCAGUGUUUCAAAUGCUUCUAACUAAGCUCCCUACAAUAAGCCAGAGAUGUGUGUGGCACUCUGAAGAAUCUGUCAAGAUGAAGUCUCUGCUUCUACAAGCUCACAGCCUGCGGUCCUGAUCCUGUAAUUUACUCUGCAUGGUCCUUUCCUCAUGGAAACCUAAGCAGUCAAGAGCAGGACAUUGGGACAGUGACCCAGGAAGGGAGAAGGCACUCUCAGACCUGAGAGAAGAGGCCAUCGUUUUACCUGGACACAUGCCAUGGAGGUACACCAUGGGUUGGGUGAGGGGUGCUGCUCUCCAAGGACCUUUGGCCUGGAGAUGUUUCGUAAGGUGGGAGGUGAAGUCCCCGCCUUUGGACCCAUGUGUCAGGAAAACCUCCUACCUGUGGGUAAGCGAUGCCUCUCUUUCCAUGAAGCAGAAGAUACCCAACAGGGUGAUGAAAUUAAUGGGCUGGGGAGCUCCUUUGUUUAAAUGAAUGCUGGGAGAGGCAAGGGAGGCUUGAUUUUUCACAUGGUUAAUGUUCCCAAUCCUCUUUUUAGUCCUCUCAUGGCAACCUGUGUACUUUGCAGUUCAAAGUCACAUGAAUCUCUGCUCAGCAGAAAUGUAAAUGUUUUGAUAAAACUGUUCUUAACAAAUUUGAUUCGUUUAAUCAGCUUGAUUAACUGCAGAGCUUUAUGGUCUUUAAUUGGGAAGGAUUUACUAUAAAUUACCAGUUUUUGUAAUUUUAUGAAGAACGUGGCAGUGCGCAGUAUCUUGCUGCCUUGGCAGUGGCAUGGAAGGUGCCUGUCUCUGGCACCCAGCCAUUCCCCUGUAGCUUCACAUGUUUCAGAGCCCUGGAGACCUCUGGGUGCCAAGCCUGCCUGAAAGGCCAGACAGAUGCUGGGCAAGGGGCAGGAUGGACAUGCAGCUGGAAGCGUCUCAAUAGACCCUAUUUCUCUUCUCUCGUGUUUUCAUCUCCCAGAUGAUUAAUCUCCCCUUCCAGUAAAAAUACAGCAUGCCUCUUCUGACAAGUCCCACAAGAAAGGAAGCACAGUUGGCCACAACAGCCCUCUCCUUGUUUUGCUUCAUAACCAGCCUCAGCCUGCACUGUGUUUUCAAAGGCUGGCGGAACAAAAUCCCCAGGUUUACCAGUAGAAAGAGAAAAAAAAGGUUGAUCAGAAAAUCUCAGCUUGGGUACACGUCACAUGUGGUCUUUCCCUUCUUUCAUUUAACGUGGCAGACUGACAGGCUGUAAAAUACAUCCAGCUGGAAAGAAGAUAAUUUUGUUUUACUCUGCCCAGCCUCAUUUUUCAGAGCUGAAUGUCCAGUCGUAUACCUGUGUGAAACCUCCGAGGCCCUGGAGGCUUAAUGCAGCAGUAUUUUUUUUAAUAGACAGUUUGUUGUCCACAUUACAUUUUUCAGUGCCUUUUUGGUCAAUAUCCCAGACUAGAGAAACCAAUGAGAGAUUGAAAACAAAUGAACUCUCCCCUUAAAUUUAGAGUUUGCCCAAAGCACCAGAGCAACUAGAGUAUUGACACAGUCUCUGCACCAGCAGAUUUGCUCUUUGCUUGGCAAGCACUGUUCUCCUGUCGCACUGCUGUGCUGCAGAGCCACUGUUCAGUGGGUCUCGGGGGUCUUGUCAUCGAAAUCCACAGGCUAAGCAACAUGGUUUCGCAGCUCUUUGCAGACAGCUUUGCACUUUUACUCCCCUCUGACUCUGAAGUGGAAUGGCACCUGAAAAAAACGGUGUAUUUCAUAAGAAAGGAAUGUUUUUCAUCCUUUCCUAGGACUUGCAUGGUCCUUCUGCAUGUACAGCUCUCACAGGCCAGCAUGAUGCAGGAGGAGACAUUUCUAACAGCAAACAACCCAGUUCCUCUUUCACCUUUGACAUUUCUACACAGUAUGAAAAGCUCUCGGCUGCUCACCAAAAGUUAGUAUUUGACCCUUUUUUUGCUUUUUUUCUUUCUUUUGCACAAACUAAACAUUCACAUGUCAUAUCCUGUAUGAGCAGUUGUUUUAAUGGAUGCGCUGCCAACAAAGAUGCUUGGGUUUAAGUGGCUGAUCCUUUGCCACCAUAAUGGCUUUUAAUGAAAGGUUUUGUCUUCGUAAGGCCAGAAUGUUCUUUAUCCAGCUUUGGCUUUUGAAAGAAACACCAUAAAUGUUUUUUGAUUGGAUGUGAAAUGUUGUGUAAAUUCUGUAAUACCAAGUUGGAAAAUCUGUCCUUUCCUUGUUAAUAGGCUAUAUAUCAAAACAGGGGGGGGUUAAAGCCUAAAUGGUUUUAUACACUAUGAAUUCAUCAGUUUUACAUCCCCAGCAAGGGGAAUAUUUAAAAACAGAAGAAAUGUGUAAAAAUAAA
Long non-coding RNA from Athene cunicularia (burrowing owl), 2671 nucleotides. Lineage: Eukaryota; Metazoa; Chordata; Aves; Strigiformes; Strigidae. The record is from Ensembl.